UACGGAGGGUGCAAGCGUUAUCCGGAUUCACUGGGUUUAAAGGGUGCGUAGGUGGGCUGGUAAGUCAGUGGUGAAAUCUCCAGGCUUAACUUGGGAACUGCCAUUGAUACUAUUAGUCUUGAAUACCGUGGAGGUCAGCGGAAUAUGUCAUGUAGCGGUGAAAUGCUUAGAUAUGACAUAGAACACCAAUUGCGAAGGCAGCUGGCUACACGAAUAUUGACACUGAUGCCCGAAAGCGUGGGGAGCAAACAGG
Molecule: ribosomal RNA, 253 nt
Filed under: uncultured bacterium
Lineage: Bacteria
Description: partial 16S ribosomal RNA
Rfam family: Bacterial small subunit ribosomal RNA
Source: RNAcentral